RNAcentral lists this ribosomal RNA (550 nucleotides) under uncultured alveolate. Its description in RNAcentral is "bacterial SSU rRNA". It matches the Rfam family "Eukaryotic small subunit ribosomal RNA", at positions 594 to 1148 of the family's 1831-position model. The record is from RNAcentral.
AUAGCGUAUAUUAAAGUUGUUGCGGUUAAAAAGCUCGUAGUUGGAUUUCUGUAUUGCUAGACCGGUCCACUCUCUGAGUAGGUACCAGGCUCUGGACGUACAUUAUUUCUAGAAUACGCAUAUGCACUUCAUUGUGUAGUGCGCACUCUAGGUCGUUUACUUUGAGGAAAUUAGAGUGUUUCAAGCAGGCGUAUGCCUUGAAUACAUUAGCAUGGAAUAAUAAAAUAUGACUUCGGCCUUAUUUUGUUGGUUUAUAGGGCUGAAGUAAUGACAAAUAGGAACAGUCGGGGGCAUUCGUAUUUAGCUGUCAGAGGUGAAAUUCUUGGAUUUGCUAAAGACGAACUACUGCGAAAGCAUUUGCCAAGGAUGUUUUCAUUGAUCAAGAACGAAAGUUAGGGGAUCGAAGACGAUCAGAUACCGUCCUAGUCUUAACCAUAAACCAUGCCGACUAGAGAUUGGAGGUUGCUCGUUAUUGACACCUUCAGCAUCUUAUGAGAAAUCAAAGUCUUUGGGUUCCGGGGGGAGUAUGGUCGCAAGGCUGAAACUUAAA